AACGAACGCUGGCGGCAUGCCUAACACAUGCAAGUCGAACGAGACCUUCGGGUCUAGUGGCGCACGGAUGCGUAACGCGUGGGAACCUGCCCUUAGGUUCGGAAUAACUCCCCGAAAGAGGUGCUAAUACCGGAUCAUGUCUUCGGACCAAAGAUUUAUCGCCUUUGGAUGGGCCCGCGUUGGAUUAGCUAGUUGUUAGGGUAAAAGCCUACCAAGGCGAGGAUCCAUAGCUGGGCUGAGAGGAUGAUCAGCCACACUGGUACUGAGACACGGCCCAGACUACUACGGGAGGCAGGAGUGGGUAAUAUUGGAAAGUGGGGGAAGGCAUGAAGGACCUAUGCCGCGUAAGUGAUGAAGGCCUUAGGGUUGUAAAGCUCUUUUACCCCGGAUGGUAAUGACGGUACCGGGAGAAUAAGCUCCGGCUAACUCCGUG
RNAcentral lists this ribosomal RNA (433 nucleotides) under uncultured bacterium. RNAcentral describes it as "partial 16S ribosomal RNA". It matches the Rfam family "Bacterial small subunit ribosomal RNA", at positions 29 to 507 of the family's 1533-position model. The record is from RNAcentral.